Molecule: ribosomal RNA, 797 nt
Filed under: Entrophospora sp.
Lineage: Eukaryota; Fungi; Glomeromycota; Glomeromycetes; Entrophosporales; Entrophosporaceae
Description: SSU rRNA
Rfam family: Eukaryotic small subunit ribosomal RNA
Source: RNAcentral
ACUUUCGAUGGUAGGAUAGAGGCCUACCAUGGUGGUAACGGGUAACGGGGAAUUAGGGUUCGAUUCCGGAGAGGGAGCCUGAGAAACGGCUACCACUUCCAAGGAAGGCGGCAGGCGCGCAAAUUACCCAAUCCCGACACGGGGAGGUAGUGACAAUAAAUAACAAUACGGGGCUCUUUCGGGUCUCGUAAUUGGAAUGAGUACAAUUUAAAUCCCUUAACGAGGAACAAUUGGAGGGCAAGUCUGGUGCCAGCAGCCGCGGUAAUUCCAGCUCCAAUAGCGUAUAUUAAAGUUGUUGCAGUUAAAAAGCUCGUAGUUGAAUUUCGGGAUUGACGUGAUGGUCGUGCCUUAAGGGGUAUGAACUGUCGCAGUUGAUUUCUCACCUUCUGGAGAAGCAUGAUGUCCUUAAUUGGGUGUCAUGUGGAACCAGGACCUUUACCUUGAAAAAAUUAGAGUGUUUAAAGCAGGCAUUUUGCUCGAAUACAUUAGCAUGGAAUAACGAAAUAGGACGUUUGAUUCUAUUUUGUUGGUUUCUAGGAUCGACGUAAUGAUUAAUAGGGAUAGUUGGGGGCAUUAGUAUUCAAUUGUCAGAGGUGAAAUUCUUGGAUUUAUUGAAGACUAACUACUGCGAAAGCAUUUGCCAAGGAUGUUUUCAUUAAUCAAGAACGAAAGUUAGGGGAUCGAAGACGAUCAGAUACCGUCGUAGUCUUAACCAUAAAUUAUGCCGACUAGGGAUCGGAUGAUGUUAAAUUAAUGACUCAUUCGGCACCUUACGGGAAACCAAAGUGUUUGGGUUC